ACUUUCAGAGGGAACAUCACUGCUGCCACCCUUGACACCUCAGCUCCUAAUCUUAGUAAGAGAACCGGAACUACCCUUUUAUCUCAGGUAUCAAACUCAUGAAGAGCAAAGAAGAGAGGAGAGAGACAUUAUUCAGAGAUUUGGGAAUUUGGGAGUUAAAGAGACAACAUUUAUAGAUAGAGCCUUCCUAGAGUAAACUUACUUGUUGCCCUCUGCACAAAAGGGAACCAAAAUGAAUUCAACUCCACACUCUGGUUAUCCACAACGAGGACCUAUCCCUCGACGUGCAUCACUUGCAGCAAAAACUUGGGUUUUCCAAAUGGAUUCAGUGUCUCUCGAUUCCAUCUGGAUAAUAGACGUUGCAAUGUCAAGCCAAGUCAGCUUCGGUUUCUGCGAGGAGUAAGGGCCACGUGUAGAACUGAAACCAUUCCUUUUCAAUGUCAUUUAUUUUCUGGCAACAGUUUUGGGAAUCUCCACUGUGAUACGAGUAAAGUCAGCACAAGGCAGCAAAGAUUUCCUCCUCUGAAUCUUUUAAUCUUUUUAUGUUGAUUCUUUGCCACCGAAACCUAAGGAAAUAACUUGGCUUAAAUAUAAUUGCCAUGCAUUACCAUAACCUGUUGCUAGGUGUGGUUUCCAAACAGUUUUUAUUUCCCAUGUAUGUUCUUUGAUAAUAAAAUAACAUGACCCCUCUAGUAAUUAGUAAUGCUUUUCAAUAAUCACUCAUGG
This is a long non-coding RNA of Mustela lutreola (European mink), 726 nucleotides long. RefSeq lists it as uncharacterized. The transcript is spliced from 3 exons. The record is from RefSeq and is a predicted model, not a curated record. NCBI's taxonomy places the organism in Eukaryota, Metazoa, Chordata, Mammalia, Carnivora, Mustelidae.